CUGCGAGUUAGUGAUGCGUGGCGAGGUUAACCCGUGGUGGGGGAGUCGUAGCGAAAGCGAGUCCGAUAAGGGCGUGAGUCGCGUGUUCUAGACCCGAAGCGGUGUGAUCUAUCCAUGGCCAGGAUGAAGCGUCGGUAAGACGUCGUGGAGGUCCGAACCCACUUCAGUUAAAAAUGGAGGGGAUGAGCUGUGGAUAGGGGUGAAAGGCCAAUCAAACUUGGAAAUAGCUGGUUCUCCGCGAAAUCUAUUUAGGUAGAGCGUC
Molecule: ribosomal RNA, 262 nt
Filed under: Chaetoceros curvisetus
Lineage: Eukaryota; Bacillariophyta; Thalassiosirophyceae; Chaetocerotales; Chaetocerotaceae
Description: partial Bacterial large subunit ribosomal RNA
Rfam family: Bacterial large subunit ribosomal RNA
Source: RNAcentral